GCCCAGGUGGCGGAAUUGGCAGACGCGCCAGCUUGAGGGGCUGGUGGGCUUCGGCCUGUGCUGGUUCGAAUCCAGUCCUGGGCA
Molecule: transfer RNA, 84 nt
Filed under: Planctomycetes bacterium RBG_16_55_9
Lineage: Bacteria; Pseudomonadati; Planctomycetota
Description: tRNA-Leu
Rfam family: tRNA
About the family: Transfer RNA (tRNA) molecules are approximately 80 nucleotides in length. Their secondary structure includes four short double-helical elements and three loops (D, anti-codon, and T loops). Further hydrogen bonds mediate the characteristic L-shaped molecular structure. tRNAs have two regions of fundamental functional importance: the anti-codon, which is responsible for specific mRNA codon recognition, and the 3' end, to which the tRNAs corresponding amino acid is attached (by aminoacyl-tRNA synthetases). tRNAs cope with the degeneracy of the genetic code in two manners: having more than one tRNA (with a specific anti-codon) for a particular amino acid; and 'wobble' base-pairing, i.e. permitting non-standard base-pairing at the 3rd anti-codon position.
Source: RNAcentral